GAUGAACGCUGGCGGCGUGCUUAACACAUGCAAGUCGAACGAAACACCUUAUUUGAUUUUCUUCGGAACUGAAGAUUUGGUGAUUGAGUGGCGGACGGGUGAGUAACGCGUGGGUAACCUGCCCUGUACAGGGGGAUAACAGUCAGAAAUGACUGCUAAUACCGCAUAAUACCACAGCACCGCAUGGUGCAGGGGUAAAAACUCCGGUGGUACAGGAUGGACCCGCGUCUGAUUAGCUGGUUGGUGAGGUAACGGCUCACCAAGGCGACGAUCAGUAGCCGGCUUGAGAGAGUGAACGGCCACACUGGGACUGAGACACGGCCCAAACUCCUACGGGAGGCAGCAGUGGGGAAUAUUGCACAAUGGGGGAAAGCCUGAUGCAGCGACGCCGCGUGAGUGAAGAAGUAUUUAGGUAUGUAAAGCUCUAUCAGCAGGGAAGAAAAUGACGGUACCGGACUAAGAAGCCCCGGCUAACUACGUG
RNAcentral lists this ribosomal RNA (481 nucleotides) under uncultured bacterium. Its description in RNAcentral is "partial 16S ribosomal RNA". It matches the Rfam family "Bacterial small subunit ribosomal RNA", at positions 28 to 507 of the family's 1533-position model. The record is from RNAcentral.